AUAUAGUAAAUUAGUAAUAACUCAAAUAUUGAUAAAACAAAACACAAAAAUGUUAGUGCUUGCAUGUUCAUCUUUUGGGGAGCCGAAUGUUGGAGAAGAAAAGCUUUGAAAUUUCGGCAAUUUGAGAUCAAAAUUCAAGAAAUGGCUUAAAAUUGUUGAUAUGUUUUCAUUUUUAAGAGGCUGAUCCAUAAAACAGAGUUUACUUCAGACUUCACAGGAUUUAAGAAAGAUGGGGCACAAUGGUUGGUUGAUAACACAGACAUCAAACUUGUAGGCAUCAUAUCAGGAGGGUGUUGAUUAAAGAUCGGUUGCCAAAAACGGGUUUCUAAUGGAAGAGUCAAUUAUAUAAACGAUCGAGAAAAAUGCUGAGGUCCGAGAUUGGUCUCUAAGAACCCAAAAAGAAAAAAGGGGGCAGUUUAAUGGAAGGAUGUAUUCCCAACCUACCCGAGCACGUAACUGUGAACGUUCGUCAGAAUAACCUUGAUGACUUGACUCAGAUUUGGAGACAGUGGGAUUCGGACAUUAGGGGCAUCUUCACUAAAAGGUACGGGGAUAUAGCCAGCCUGAUCGCUGUCAACAUAGAUGAAAGAUUGAUUCAGGCGAUGAUCAGAUUCUAGGAUCCGGCUUACCAGUGUUUCCUUUUCAAUCAAGAAGAUAUGACCCCAACCGUGGAAUAGUACGCUGCUUUACUUCGUAUUGAUAAUGUGCAAUUCUACAAAUUUAUGUGAAGGAGCCCAAGCCGAUGACUUUCAAGAAAAAGCUGGUAAAGUUGACUGGCUUGACCGACACAUGAGCCGAGAAACAAAUAAAGAAAAAGAAUGAAAUCAGCUGUAUUCUGUGGUUUUCCCUGCGGGAUUUAGUCCUAAAUCAUCCCGAUAUUUUGAAGAGAAUGAAUCUGUUUGCUUUGGCCAUUUACGGAUUGGUCAUCUUCUCAAAAGUUCUAGGACAUAUAGAGGUAGCAGUAGUGGACUUCUUUGAAAAGUUAAAACAAGGAAUCAACCCUAUCCCAACUAUUUUCGCUGAGACCUUCAGAUCCCUAAGCAGUUGUAGGAGGAAAGGGGAAGGACGCUUUAUCGGAUGUGCGCAAUUGCUUAAUGUUUGGAUUUUGAGCCAUUUCUGGAAAGUAAAGCAUACACCGUACCACAUGUUUUCAAAAACCUUCGCCCCGUUGGAAGCCUAUCUUGAGAGAGAAUUGCCAAAGGAUGUCACCGAAGAGCAUUGGGUUUCAGUUUUUCAGAACCUUCAUGUAACACUCCUUACCCGAGACUGUUACUAGAAUCGAGCACGAGGCAUUACUAAACUUAAUCUAUCCCUUAAAUAGGUUUAAAUUGUUUAUUUAAGCUUUUCGAAAUGUGCUGCCAUUCUGCGUCGUAGUCGCCUAAAAAGUCAUAUCUUGAGUUUCGAAACUCAAAAUUAAGAUCCGCAAAUUUUUCCUGAAA
Gossypium arboreum is the source of this 1439-nucleotide long non-coding RNA. RefSeq lists it as uncharacterized. The record is from RefSeq and is a predicted model, not a curated record. The transcript is spliced from 3 exons. Lineage: Eukaryota; Viridiplantae; Streptophyta; Magnoliopsida; Malvales; Malvaceae.